AAGACUAUAUUUUUAAGGUUAAUUUCUAUAGUUUCUGACUUGGAAAUGUGAUUGGAAAAUGUUGCGUCUCCCUAAUCGCAAUGAUGAGUUAUGAGGUACUUUUCUGAGCACGAAUCGGAUUAUAGCUAAUGCUUCAUGCAUAGGCUGUAAUUGUUGAUGAGUGUUCUCUGUCUUUGAAAGACAUUAGAAGGAAAGCAUGUGUGUC
Small nucleolar RNA from Clarias gariepinus (North African catfish), 205 nucleotides. RefSeq annotates it as small nucleolar RNA U3. NCBI's taxonomy places the organism in Eukaryota, Metazoa, Chordata, Actinopteri, Siluriformes, Clariidae. The record is from RefSeq and is a predicted model, not a curated record. The transcript has a single exon.